This 338-nucleotide unclassified non-coding RNA is filed under the name Hevea brasiliensis (rubber tree). Lineage: Eukaryota; Viridiplantae; Streptophyta; Magnoliopsida; Malpighiales; Euphorbiaceae. The record is from RNAcentral.
AGCACCCCCCAUCACAGAAGUUGCCUCGGAAAAAUUAUGCACAUUUUCAGGAUUAAAGAAACUAAAUUCAUCCUCCACAUCAUCGUUCCCAUCCUCUUCUUCGUCACCGUGCACCCUAGCACUACCUUUGUGUCGCUUGUAUCUAGUCUUGCAAUGCGGACACGCUUGAGUGCCCUCCUUCCUCUCAUACUCAUAGCAAGUCCGGCACACAGGGAAAGCACAUUCGUUACACGCGACAAACGGCUCCUUCUCUUGCUCGUCCCCCACCAACUCAAUACCAUCUUCACAUAUCUGACAGAUCUGCCCACUUGUUUGUUGCAAUGGCUUCGGCUUGCCGA